RNAcentral lists this unclassified non-coding RNA (200 nucleotides) under soil metagenome. RNAcentral describes it as "partial contains internal transcribed spacer 2 and large subunit ribosomal RNA". The record is from RNAcentral.
CGUCGUUUAAACCAUGAGGCUUUGCCUUGCGAUGACAUUUGGGUUUCGGUCCAUGUGUCCAAACAUAUUGGCAUCUGCAGUUGGCCCAGCACAGCAAAAUGUGUUGACGGUCUUGCUGACGGAUUGCCGGUUAUUUGGAUGUUUCUUAGGAAACACGAUUGCUCGACCUCGGAUCAGGCAAGAUUACCCGCUGAACUUAA